RNAcentral lists this ribosomal RNA (324 nucleotides) under Cubitermes sp. VR-2017. RNAcentral describes it as "eukaryotic LSU rRNA". It matches the Rfam family "Eukaryotic large subunit ribosomal RNA", at positions 681 to 952 of the family's 3401-position model. Lineage: Eukaryota; Metazoa; Arthropoda; Insecta; Blattodea; Termitidae. The record is from RNAcentral.
UGUGCGCGAGUCACUGGGAUCAACUAAACCCAGAGGCGCAGUGAAAGCGUGGGGCUCGCACGGCAUAAAGCCGCUUGCGAGCCGAGAAGGGAGGACGGCAGGUCGUUCCCGAACGGGGCGGCCUGCCAGCACUCCCGGGGCGCCUCGGCUUCGGCCGCAGGCGCACCCGGAGCGCACACGUUGGGACCCGAAAGAUGGUGAACUAUGCCCGGCCAGGACGAAGUCAGGGGAAACCCUGAUGGAGGUCCGCAGCGAUUCUGACGUGCAAAUCGAUCGUCAGAGCUAGGUAUAGGGGCGAAAGACUAAUCGAACCAUCUAGUAGCU